RNAcentral lists this ribosomal RNA (253 nucleotides) under uncultured bacterium. RNAcentral describes it as "partial 16S ribosomal RNA". It matches the Rfam family "Bacterial small subunit ribosomal RNA", at positions 524 to 776 of the family's 1533-position model. The record is from RNAcentral.
UACGUAGGGUGCAAGCGUUGUCCGGAAUUAUUGGGCGUAAAGAGCUCGUAGGCGGUUUGUCGCGUCUGCUGUGAAAACGCGAGGCUCAACCUCGCGCCUGCAGUGGGUACGGGCAGACUAGAGUGCGGUAGGGGAGAUUGGAAUUCCUGGUGUAGCGGUGAAAUGCGCAGAUAUCAGGAGGAACACCGAUGGCGAAGGCAGAUCUCUGGGCCGUAACUGACGCUGAGGAGCGAAAGCGUGGGGAGCGAACAGG